UGUAUUGGUUAACAUUUAUGACAACAGGGGGCUAUUUUAUAUGAAAGUGUGUUAUUUGUCCUACAACAGCAAUACUGAAACUAUGCUAGUGCCACACUGUAAUGCAGAAGUAGUAGUAUAAGGUACACCUGUUAACUAAUCAUUAACACAAUUUUAUUUGUAUAGCCCCUUUCAACAUAAAAAUUACAGGGCUAUAAAGGGGCUAUCUUAAAUAAGUCAAACGUGAGUGAACAAAUGUGAAUAAAUCUGCACAGAGCUGAUGAGCUGAUUUUAAGUCUCUAUGAAACUUUUCAACUCAUAUACUCUUUCACCAGUCUUAAAAAUAAAUACUGUGAUGGUGGUCCCGAGUUUGACAUGUAAUGAAUCAGCUAUUAUUGUCAUGUUUUAAUGUAGUUAGUACUGUAAAACUAAAAUUGGGCUUGUUGUACAUUUUCUAUUUUAUAACCACAAGUUUGGUUAAUAUGUUAUUACAGGACAUCUCUUUUUUUGAAAAGCAUCUCCAAACUUGAAGGCUGCACAGGAACAAUUCAAUUUAUUGGUGAUGCUUACAUAGUGCAAGUAAAAUUCCAUCACCAUUAAAUGUUUAGAAGAAUUCAUCUUCAAGAUCAUAAUGAAGGGUCAGAGUGUAUCUUUACACUUUCCGUGAGGAUAUUUAAAGUAAUAUAUGAUGUAGUGUCUUUUUGUUUUGUUUCAAUUUCACUAACAUGAAUGUGGAAGUGUAAAGAGUAUGCAGCACAAGAGGCUACAAGAUCUCAGUCAUUGAAGCACUACAGGUUAAACCACAGCCACUUUGGCUGGAGACACCCUUAUCCAUGCACAUAUUUAAAUUUUCCAUGCACCUUUAAAGCUUGGAAUGCACCCCAAAGUUACCUAUGUAGAUCACAUGUUGAUCAGACAUUGCAGAGAUCUGUAGAUUCCUGGUGAGAUGAUUAAAGACAAGCUUUUCAUUGCUGAUUUUAAAAGAAGGUGACCAGCUGUCUUUUCUGAGUGUGAGGUAUUAUUAUCAUUAUAUUGUCUUGAUUAUUCCAUUAACAAAAAAAAAAAAAAAUUGUAAAGUGUUCAAAUUUUUCAUGAAUAUUCACCCAGAGCUAGAAAUUGCAAUUUUCAAAUUGGAUUUGUAGUUAAGAAAGAGCACCACUCCCACGUCUCAUUAUUUCACAUUGUUUAACUAAAAUGAAUCAGGAAAUAAAAAUGCAUUUCAUGGAUUUUCCUACAUCAUAUUGUUCUGGUCCACCAAACACAUUUUUCACAUUUUACUGUAAUUCUUAAAUGUUUGCAGGUGGAAGCAGAGUUUGCCUGCAUCACCACUGUCCUACUGACAUCCAAGUUCAUGCAACAGCUAGAAUUCUGUGUGGGUUAUUUUUGGGUGCUAUAACUUUUGGUGUUUCUUCCUUUCUAUAAUAACCUUUUCUCACAAGAUUUUUUACAAAGUAAGUAGAUUGGGAAAAAUCUCCCUAAACUUAAGAUUUAAACUGUUUAAACUGAUACUUUCAGCUGCAGAAACUAUUAAAAGUUUUGGGUAUUGUGGACUUUUCAGUGAUUACUUUUUGUGUUUCUUCCUUGUAGUUUAUUUUACUAGUGUUGUUUACUGCACAAUACAACAAUAAUCUCACACAUCGCCCUUUUCUUUGCGGUAGGAAGGUGACAUUUAAACUAAAAGAGCUUGUGUACUGAAGGUGCUAAUUGUUUAUCUCACUGAAGACCCAGAAACCCUCAUAAAGGAGAACAUGAUAAGUUUAGUGGCCUCUACUUUACACAAAUUUGCUCUCUGGAAGCAAAGAGAAUGUUUUUGCAGGUUUGUGUUCUGGCUAAAGAUGUAUUUAUUUUUAUUUUUAGGAAUCUGAGAACAACCAUUAGGGAAUGUGGCAGGUCCAGAACCCACAGACGACCUUGAAAAUGUUGGACUAAUCACUGAAUGUGUCGAAGUGCUUCAUGACCUUGGUAACAUUGCAAAUCCAGUUGCCAUUUUGUUUGGCCUCAUUUACUCACUGGUCUUGAGCUACAGUUGAGCUACUUGAGUUCAGACAAGAAACUGCAAGAAAACAGAGAAGCACUGAAAGACUGUUUAGUGUAACCUUGAAAUGGAACUGCAGAACACAUGGAACAAGGGCUUUUGUCCCCAACGAUCAACAGAACUGGAAAGUUUUGGAUCCAGACAUUGAACUACUAAUGGCCUUUGGAAAUUAUGUCCGUAUGUUUUAGCAGACUUUUAAAUUGUUCAUAUGAGGUUUUCAUUUUAUGUCGGUCAAGGAAGGGGGAAAGAUAAAAAUGGUGUCAUGGUCUGGGUGAGUUGCAGUGUUUCUCCAGCAGCUCUAGGUUUCAACCCCCAGGUGGAGCCAUAUUACCCCACCUAUUCUCCACACCUGUUGGCAAUUCAGCUGGCGGUAUUUAAGACCAGCGCUCUCAUACCUCUCAGACCAUUCACUCAUCUGUGCAGUUCCUUACCUACUUUUUCAUCGCUGGUCACUCCGUCAUUCAGAUGACCUGCUCCACCUGCCUGCCCCCCUGCCGUCACCUCUGGUCUUGGAACUCUCGGGAACUCUGGACUGUCUGGAUCACAGUCAAAUUGACACUCACCCCGAACCCGCUGGCGGUUUUCUCCCCACGCUCCCUCCGACCUGCUCACAAAGCCUCUGACCCCAGCACCUUUUAUCCUGAUCCCCUUCCUGCGCUGUACCAUAAUUGCCACCACUAGAAUCACAUAUAGCUACAUUUUGUAGUUUCAAUUUUUGUGUGUUUAUAAAUAAAUAUUCAGUUUUGGGAAAAUCACUCAGCCUCCGCCUCUGUCUGCAUUCCAGCCUGUUGUACUGGCAACCCUGCCGUGACAAACGGAGAAUGUAACAAAGAUUGGCAUGAAAGAGGGGGAAAUGAGAGAUGUCAGAAGGGUUGUGUACCAUAUCUGAGCUGGUGAGUCCAGUCAGUCUACGUCAGAUGGUCGUCACAAAUUUGAGGAACCGGCCUUUAAGCAGCAGCCCUUUGGACUCCAUGAACAAUCAAAUCCUCUCCCUUUACCAUGACCUUGUUACGGGGUCCAAGGAGUUUCCUCAUAUUGCAGUCAGGGGAUUGUUUCACUCAGAGCAGAUGAGGACACCUUUUACCCCUGUGCUGCAGAGUUAGAGGGAGAACGCCACUCCAUCUCCUUCUACAGACUCACCAGCUGGUAUGAUGGUGCUGCCUGCAUGGUGCCACUUACAUUCUUAGAUCCUGACUCCUGUACUUCCAGACAAGGUGGAUAUUUAUGCGCUGAACACAGACCGGAGGAACAGUGUCCACACCCUGGAUGUCAGCCUCAUCGUCACCAGAGUCAUCUCUGCUGUUUAUCGCACAGAAAACAGUGAGAUGACAAGGCACUGGAGAGUCAGACUACAGCUCAGAGGACAGCGUUAUCAUGUCGGGAGAUCUGCCAGUUUCUAAAGAUGUUUGUAAAGGGUUAUGAAGAGGAAAAGAGCAGCAGCAGGAGCCCCACUCCACCAAAGAAACUGUGAAGCCUUCUCUGGAGAACUUAUUUUCUCAAGACUCUAAGUUUUAAGACUUCUGUCAACUGCAUUGGACAUAUGGCAGGGCUGUGACUGGAUGUUGAACCAGGGACAUCUAUUGUAGAGCCAACUGUAACUCGAACUAAGGAUCCAUAAAGACAGUGCCAAGUGUAAAUUAUCCUCUGCUGCAUCUUAGACAACAGCAAGAAUGAACAAAGUGGUGAGUAAUAAGUAAUGUUUUAGGUUGUCUCUAAAUUGAUGUCCCAAAAUGUUAAAAAACAUCUUGAAGUUUUAACUUUUUAUUGUUGCUUUUCUGCUUUUUGCUUUUAAAAGUCAGAAGAAAAAAGAAGAGACACCACACAAAAGAAUUUCCCUCAUUAAAUUACACUGAUUUAGUUUAGUUUGUAUGUCGGCUUUUCAUUUAAAGGUUUCAGGUUCUAGUUUCUUUACUGUGCUGUGCUCCACCACUCCUGCAGCCUAGAACUGGUCUAGUAACUUAUGUGUCUUAUAGUGACAUAAGGGCUUUAGCUCUCAAAUUUUCUCUCUAAAAUAUUAAUUUUACAGUAUUUUCACGGCCUCAAAGACAAAAACCCACACGCAUAUCGAUCAGUUGGGCAAACUUGUUGACACUGUUCUUCAGAGGAUAAAGUGCUGGUGGCGUGUUCCACCACCAGACUUCCACACAAUGUUCCAGAGAUGUGCUAACCAGGAAAGCACAAGAGCCUUAAUGCCAUUUCCAGAACUUUUUUUUUUUUUUAAAUUUAAUUGUAAUUCUAAGAGUCGUUUGGCACAUGUAAAUAAUGAUCAAAUGAUAACUACAACAGCAGUAUUAAUAAUAUUAAUAAUGGUACAAAUAGUUAUGAUUACUGAUUAUUUUUACAUUUUUAAGAUAGCCAGACCUUCAUCAUUUGUUCUAAAUCUGUGUGUAGAGCACCAGCAGAUUCAUGUAUUAAAAUAUAGAUGAAUCACUGACUUGUGACACUGUUUCAGUUUCUUUAGUCAUAUCUCCUCCUGUUUUCUUACUUUAGUGAUGUAGGUGUCUCUCUUACACCAUCAUCACUUUCUCCACUUCACCUUGAGGUAAACUUGCUUAUUUACAAAGAGAAGUAGAAGCAUGGCAGUAUAUGGAUGAUUCAGAGUCAACACACACAGUGGUAAGAACAAAAUUUGCACAGGUUUCAUGUAAUUUUGUGUGUGCACUUUUUUUUUUUUUUUUUUUUUUUGCACAGGAUAACAAUGUUUCCAUACAUAUACUGAAUGAGGUCCAAUGUUAUUCACAGGAAAACUGGAUCUACUUAGUUCUGCCUGUAUUUUCUUCACAUGGCUACACUGCUACGAUCGCACAAUUUUAAGGGUUUAACCAGCCAAAGAGGGAAUAGUGCCACUCCACCUUGGAAGAUGAGGGCAGAUUCAAAGUUUUUAUAUUUUGUGUUUAUUGGUUGUUGGAACAUUCAGAGAAUCCCCUGACCACAUUAUUGAGGUUUACAGAUACAGUGACAUCUGUAUGUACACAGCUGUGCUACAGUGCAGUUAUGUAGAGCCUCAGCAAAGAUGAAUACUGUCAGAAACAUCAGUUUUAUUCCUUCACUGUAUUUUUUUAUAACUGAAAAUGAAUAGGAAACCUAUAAAAGAUUAUAAAACACAUUAACACACAGAGUACAUUAUAACACAAACAAUCAUACUGGCAAUGAUUGCAAGUACUAAGUCAAUUAAAAUCCAUCAAGAAUGCAGUGUUUAUUUAAGGUUUUGUUUCUUUCAUUACACUCUCAGAUGACAUGUGCUUUUCAAACAUUACCUUUAAACUGUUUAAUAUAGCGGUCAUUCCAUCCAUUCACCUUUUAUCUGUAAUACUUUUGAGAUGUUUUGUGUUUGAGACAGUGCAGAUUUCUGGUAUUUUGUGUAAAUUUAAGCAUUUAACAAUUUGAUUAUUUCUAAUUUUAAAAAAAAAAGAGUGUGAAACUGAAGUUAGACUUGUGUUUGGAAAUAAACCACCCCGUGUUGUGUAGCUUUCUGGAUUACUGGACUACAUACUCAUUUAUUAUAUUGGCUAUACAGUGGUCCCUCGCUGCAGUUCACCUCUGGCAGCCUCGCUGUUUCACUGAUUUUUCUUUGUGUGCAAUUUUCCAUGUCAAUAAACACAACAAUGUCAAUGAAACGUUUUGCACCGUCAAA
Long non-coding RNA from Oreochromis niloticus (Nile tilapia), 5648 nucleotides. RefSeq lists it as uncharacterized. The record is from RefSeq and is a predicted model, not a curated record. Lineage: Eukaryota; Metazoa; Chordata; Actinopteri; Cichliformes; Cichlidae. The transcript is spliced from 4 exons.